AACAGAGGACAGCGAUAUUCAAUGUUGCGAAUUGAAAGUGGCACGAGAAAAAGAAGAGCGACGUCAUUUGGCGGAGCACUGGAGAGCAGGAAGGAACUGUCGUCGAACGCCUGUUAUCUCGCUCGGCCAGCGAUGAAGUAAAGCAACGCCGCGCGCAAGUUUGGCUUCCAGACUGCAGGCAUAAUUGGCGUGAACGCUGUAAACAAGCUAGGGGUAAGUUUCUUACCAGACUCGACUGCACUCCUUCCAAGUGGCAUUCUACUCAAAUUUUCCAAUUAUUCCUACGGCGAGUUUUUUUCCAUAGAACGUCAAAUAUUCUAUAUGGAGUUCCAGCAAAUUUUAGUCACUUAUUCUACUUUACAAAGAGGACAUUUCGAGACGCGUCUGACUCUAUUAGCACGAUUCUGCUCUAAAUUUAUCAUCAUGUAAAUCUAAUUAUCCUUUUUAAUGGCAAUUGUUCCACGCGCAUACUAAUUUAAUCGAAAUUGAGGUUGAGCCAAGCUUGUAAAUUGAAUUUUUUUCAUCAAUAUCUAUCUUAAUCUGAAAUAAAGUUUCUUAAUUCACGCUCACAUUUCGUGGCUUACUUUAGUUUACUUUAUUUGACUUUGGAAUAGAAACCAGUCAACCUAUCAAAUUACUAAAACUAGACGCUUUCUCAAUUGAAAGUACAAAGCUUUGUACACAGAUUCGAUGAUAAUAAUUUUUCGCGUUGAAGUAACCAGGAGUCCCGAGAAUAUGUCGGAAUUAAUUAUAAUCUUAAUGAGCGUGUUUCUCUGCCUGAAUCGUAAACUAAA
This is a long non-coding RNA of Phymastichus coffea, 794 nucleotides long. RefSeq lists it as uncharacterized. Lineage: Eukaryota; Metazoa; Arthropoda; Insecta; Hymenoptera; Eulophidae. The transcript is spliced from 3 exons. The record is from RefSeq and is a predicted model, not a curated record.